This is a long non-coding RNA of Pyrus x bretschneideri (Chinese white pear), 459 nucleotides long. RefSeq lists it as uncharacterized. NCBI's taxonomy places the organism in Eukaryota, Viridiplantae, Streptophyta, Magnoliopsida, Rosales, Rosaceae. The transcript is spliced from 2 exons. The record is from RefSeq and is a predicted model, not a curated record.
GUGGGGCGGACGAGGGCGCGGACGGAGUGGCCUUGUUUCAGUAGUGCGCGGCAUAAUCUUCCGCCUAAGUAACCGGAGGCGCCGGUGACGAGUAUCUUCAUGUCUGAUUAAAGUGAUCGGCUGCUGUGUGUCCCAGGUUCUCAGGUAUCUAUAGCUGGGCUUGGAGUGAAGCCUGGAAUUGGCUGUUGGUACUGAUAAGGCGGGGCUUUGUUUGGGGAGCGAAUUUGGCUAGAUUGACAUGCCCGGCUGCUGUUUUGGUGGUUGCAACAGCGGUUAUGACGGAUGACACAUCGGCUCCUGUUGUUUAUGUGUUUUCUUUGUUUUGGUCUCAACUUUUGGUUGGGGCUCUUUUGUUUGUUUGUGUUUUUUGUUGUUGGACCUUUGUGUUGUAAUGUUUGUCGUUGGUAAUGCAUGUUACCUUUGCUCCAAAAAAAAAAAAAAAAAAAAAAAACCUUUAAA